Non-coding RNA from Bactrocera oleae (olive fruit fly), 556 nucleotides. Lineage: Eukaryota; Metazoa; Arthropoda; Insecta; Diptera; Tephritidae. The record is from RefSeq and is a predicted model, not a curated record.
AUACCUCUUGAAAUGUUUAAUAAAAAUAAAUAUAUAUGAUCGAAUUGUCUAAACGUUCUAAUUACCCAUAGAAUAUUUAGAAAUGGUAAGAAGAAUGAAAAACUGAAACAAAACAUCGAUAUACUGGACUUGCUGUUGGUAGAACACAUUCUCGCAUUGACUUUUUGCAACUUCAUCCAUUAUACCGGUAGCCGUAGCAUCGUCUGGAGUAUAUAUAAGAUUUGUUGGCAUUGGUGUUCCAGAGGCGCUUAAUAAGGAUCUAAUGAAUACAAAUGAAUGUCCAAAUUAUCGAGUUUUUGUUCGUCAUAUAUCACAAUCUUUUUGAGGUCAUCGUCAGUUAGUUCAUUAUUGAUCGACGGAGUUGUGGGGAACAGAACAGCGAGUAAAUAGCAUAUAAUUAUAAUAACUAUUUCAGAGAUAGUUUUCUUAACUGAACGAAUUUCAAAUUUAAAAUUUUUACUAACGGCAGUUUUAACCGAGGCAGGCAUUUUAGUUGAUUUAUUUACAGCUACAAUAUAAGAUAAAAAUGCAUAUUUAUAUAAGGUUUUGGUUGGAA